RNAcentral lists this unclassified non-coding RNA (200 nucleotides) under Belonioscyphella sp. Its description in RNAcentral is "partial internal transcribed spacer 2". The record is from RNAcentral. Lineage: Eukaryota; Fungi; Ascomycota; Leotiomycetes; Helotiales.
UUAAGUUCAGCGGGUAUCCCUACCUGAUCCGAGGUCAACCAUAGAAAUUUGGUGGUUAAUAGCAAGCACCUACCUAGACUCUAUAGCGAGAAUAAUUACUACGCUUAGAGCUAAAUAGCACCGCUACUAGUUUUAGGGGCUGCUGGUGUAGCAGGCUCCAAUACCAAGCUAGGCUUGAGGGGUUAAAUGACGCUCGAACA